UCUUGGCCCAGGCAAGGGAACUGCUUGAGCAGCUCCGUCUUCUGCCGCUUAUAGUUGUCGGUAGCCGAGCGCCAGUGGGGCUCCUCCAGCACCUCGAAGAUCGCCGCCCCGAUGGACAGGUAGAAGAUGAUGGCCGAGGUUCAGCGGAAUUCCUCGUUUUCGAGGCCGGGAGGUCUAUGGCUCUCCUGGAUGCGUGGAAGCUUGGGGGGAAGGUGAGCAGGAGCUCUGAGGAGAAAAGAAGGUGUCGGUCCGCAGAAUUCACCCCUUCCCUGAGACGUCCACACGUGGGCAUUACAGAUCAUUAGGAGCAGAAACUGCAUCUCCCAUUUCUUUCAUGCCUUUGGUGCCUUCAAUAAAUAUCGCUGUGUAUUGCUGUUCGUGGGUUUGGGAGGAAGAGAGAGACACCGGCUAGUGAUUUUCCAUAAGAUGCUCCAAACAUCUUCCAGGCUGAAGCCCUCCUGAACUCACUCUGUUUGUGAAGCUUUCCCCAGGAGCCGCUUACAGCUGUGCACAAGCCCUCGCCCCUCCGUGUUUGGAUGGGGUGGAAAUGGGGUUACAUGGGUCAGGGAGAGAUAUAUUGAUGUGUUAAUCACACUGGCAAAGUGCUUCUGGUGUGGACAAGGUUCAUCUUACAAACAUUAUUUUUGUUGGGGGUGUCUUCUUGUCUUCUCCAGCCCCCACAACAGGAAGUAAACACUCAAGAAGUAGAGCAGUUCAUAUCAACUGCAUCAACACUUAAGAGUUUUGGGGUUAUAGGUACUCAGUUGGAGUACACAAACUAAAAGGCUAAGAUAAGCCUGUGCAGACAUAAUUGAAAUGGGAAGAGGAGGAAUGAAGGAGAAUGGGAAAGACAAAGGAGAGAGGUAGAAAAUGAGAAGUGUGCAAGAGAGUAUGAGAAAACAAAAAGGAACAUGCAUUGGUUAGAAGGUAUAUGGAGAUACCUGUAUAAAACUUUGAAUCAUGCCCAAUGGAUGCUCGUUUGAGAUUGCCCCCAGGAAAUCACAUGGCCCUUAAGCAGUCCUUCCUACUAAUGUAUAUAGUGCUCAAUAAAAAUACAUCUGCAAGAGGUUCCUAGCAGCUUAAAAGCAAGACUGGAGAAACCACAAAAUCCACAAGCACAUGAAGUGAUCAGUCCUUGCAUGGGAUUUCCCAGUCAUUUAAAGGAAACAUUCAAAAGAAAAAAGGAUUUUCAAACUGCAGUAGUUAAAUAUAUAUAUAUAUAUACUGGAGGAAAUAGCAAGAAAAAAGCAUCAUAAUAAACAUUUUUAAAGUGUCAUAAAGAAACUAUACUAAUCUUUUUCAUUAAGGCAAAAAUGGGGAAUGCUUCACAAAGUUUAAAAGCUGCAAUUUCCUUUUAAUUAAAAGGAAAAGAAUUUCAUGAUGCACAACUACCACAUGAAAAUUAUUCCCAGGUGUUAUCACUUGGCCCAAGACCUUUGCAAAAAUUGAAAAGCCAUUGGCCAAAUAAUUUAAUAAUGUGAGCCUCUGUCAUUGUCUCACUCGCUGAUUUAAAAGUAAAGUUAAAAAUUUUAUAUAAGUACCCAUGGCAAGUGACUGAAAGUAUUGAAGAACUUUCAGUAGGCAAAUUAUUAUAUAAUUUUCCUUUUGGUGCUCUUGCACCUUCUUCUGAGUCACCUGCAAGUGGUUAGGUUAUUCCGACAGCAGCAGCAGUAGCCUGACACGUUACAGCAAUGCUGCACUUGUGUGUUCCUGACCCUGAACAUCUGCGCUUUGUAACUGGAAGGUAUUUGAUUAAAUUUUGAAACUGUACUCUCCUCCAUCUGGGUUUAAGUCUCUAAAGGCCCAUUUAUACGCUGAAACAGUAUUUUAAAGGCGAAAGGAAUGACACCAAUGACCCUCAACCCACUGCAGUUACAGAGCACAAAAUGAGCAAAAACUUUUAGGCAUUUUACAGAAAGUUUGUUUGUGAUUUUGAUUCAACAUUUCUACUUUCCACUCUAAACUCCCAAUCACUGAUUGCAUAAUUAGUACUCUCUUGACUGAGUCAGUCGGUUUUAAAAACAAACCUGUAAAUCACAUACCAUUUUUCCCUGUGUUGAAAUGCUAUUGCACUUGUUAGACUGUCUCCUUGUGUUUCUCUGGGUUUAAAAGAGGUGACCCUGGUAAGGAGCAACAUCCAGAAGAAUAGUUUAUUCCCCAAGGAACUGUAACCAACUAUUCCUGCAACUAGAGGUGAUCCACUGAGUAUCAGCAAACUUCAAGCACUUAGAUAUUUCACUUUGAUUCCAUUGUCUUUUGCAGAACAAGUUACAGGGUAUACUUUCAUGCUGCUGUCCUAGUAGUGUGGCAAGAAGGAAUGUUUUGUGUAGCUGGCCUCUCUUUGCACCUCCUGAUCUAAUAUGCUUCUCCUGACCUCAGAAAAGAUCCCAUAUCCUUUUAUUCAUGGCCCUUUUCUCCUCUUUGUUAAACAGUACCCCUAUUGUCAACCCACAGCACCUGCCACAUAGGCCCCAAAGCUUUUCAUGCUAGCUAAGUUAAUCAAAAGGCUGGGGUUAUUCACUCACAGGCCUUUAAAUCUCAUUAAAAAUCAAGGGACAAACAGCAGAAAGCACUGUGGUGAGCAAUAUCACAAGUAUCAAUCAUUUGUGUUAUUUGCAUAGGACGCUAUUUCAGGCUGUCCAGUCCAAAAGGAAAUCUCUUUCAUCCAAGCUGUAUGUCUAAGACACAUUUGCUGUACAGAUGUUUCCUAGGACAGCCUGGAAUGAAUGAAUAAAUGUCAGAAAAUGUUUAGAUGGAGCAAGUAAAACACAUUAUUUGGGCAAAAGAAGCCUGUUAUAUAGUGGCAAAGACUGCGUGUUAUACCGAAUAUGAACUCUCUUCAAGCCUCUGCCAUUUUUCACUUAGAAGUCUGUGUUUGGCUGGUUGAUGACUGUUCCCAAUGCCUGUCAACUCUGCAUCUUUCAUUUUUCUUAACUGCUGAGAUUUAGACACCUCCAACAUUGCCUUCAAGUGUUAUGCAUGCAGCCAUAUUUAAGCUGAGCGGUGCACUGUCAUGACUAUCGUGAGCAGUUUUGCUUCUUUGAUUCAGUCCAGUGCACACAGAGGGGGUGAGGAUGGUCUGCAGAUGAUGCAGAAUUUUAUGUGAGGCGUUUGUGGAAAGUUCAAAAAUUCUCCCUGGGAUUGUUCAUACCUUUUGGCUUAAGUAUCUGGAAAAGCACAUUUUAUGCUCUGAAUGUACAGUAACACAUAGUUAAGCAUAAUAAAAAUAAUAAAAAUAAUAAAAACCUUUACCAAAACAACCUGCAUACCACUGCAACAGACUUCUUCACCCAUGGACAGAUAAUGAGUGAACAAACACCACAUGACAGAUGUUAGUCAUGCUGCUUAAUGAAUAACUGGUGAUGAGUACAAUACCUGUGUGGAAUGGCUGUAAUAUGUUCAAGGAAAAAUAUGCAUUUGGAUCAUCUGUUUUUCUCUGAGGUACCUGCAGUGCUUGAGAGAAAUGUCUUCAUCAGGAAGAAGCCUAAGUAUUUCAACAUUUUUCUGCAUCUGUUUCCUUGACUGCUUUGUUCCUUGGCCAUCCGUAGCAGUCACUGGAUGAUGAAAUAUUUUUCCUUCAAAAUAUUUUAAAAAGAAAUACUCUGGCCUUCUCUUUCUGUUCCACCAUGACCUCACUGGUAGUGCCAGAAGCUUUAUGGCAGUCCUUCAUGCUGACAUUCAUGUCAGUGAUCUAAGCAUUUCAGAAUACAGCUCUACAAAAAAAGACCGACUCGUACAAUGUCAGUCCUGGACUGGCGUUUACCACCAUGAUACCCAGAGGACAUUACUCUUCUAGAUAAUAUGCUCAAGGAUAGCUGAGCACCAUGGUAACAGAGUCAGUGAAUAUGCAACAAUCUGUUAUUUUGUUACAUAAAACAUCACUGUCAAGUCUUACUUUUGUGUCAUUAGGAAGGAAUUAAAUUUUAUUUGUGUGUA
This is a long non-coding RNA of Prinia subflava (tawny-flanked prinia), 3936 nucleotides long. RefSeq lists it as uncharacterized. The transcript has 2 exons. The record is from RefSeq and is a predicted model, not a curated record. NCBI's taxonomy places the organism in Eukaryota, Metazoa, Chordata, Aves, Passeriformes, Cisticolidae.